GAGAGAGGCUCGAACGCUACGACGGUUGCUACCCUUCGUCCCCUUGGUUAAACCCCAAGGCUCACUCG
Molecule: transfer RNA, 68 nt
Filed under: Hyporhamphus unifasciatus (common halfbeak)
Lineage: Eukaryota; Metazoa; Chordata; Actinopteri; Beloniformes; Hemiramphidae
Also listed under: 1 other name
Description: tRNA-Ser
Source: RNAcentral